This 1457-nucleotide long non-coding RNA is filed under the name Nicotiana benthamiana. Its description in RNAcentral is "long non-coding RNA (NBEN_LNC010611)". Lineage: Eukaryota; Viridiplantae; Streptophyta; Magnoliopsida; Solanales; Solanaceae. The record is from RNAcentral.
UCGAACCGGCGAAAUCUCAAGCNNNNNNNNNNNNNNNNNNNNNNNNNNNNNNNNNNNNNNNNNNNNNNNNNNNNNAUCUCAAGCUCGCGACGCCUUUGCCCCUCAAAUCGGCCUCCACGCGCGUUGAAUCUAGCCAAAAAUAGAGCGAAUACAUCACAAUAUGCAAAUGGGAACUACCCAAUCAAAAACAAUCGAAUUAUAGCAAGAACUUUGAAACUAGCAAAACCCGAGCCCCGGGCCCGCUUCUCAAAAAAUUACAAAACUUACCUUUUCAGAAUCCUCGUCUUGCCACGAGUCCAUACAUAUCAAGAACUCCCAAAUCCGAGCUCAAAUGACCUAUAAAAUCCCACUUUGGAGAUGUCAAAAACUCAAGCCCUAGUUUCUUCAAUUUCAUACCUAAAUUCAGAGAAUUAAUGGAUGAUUCUUUGAUUUAGUGAUGUAUUUAACUCAUAAAACCUACCUCCAAUCGAUUCCUAGUCGAAACCCUCUUAAUUCCUUGCCAAAAGCUCCCAAGCUUGCUCAAAAAUGGUGGAAAACAAACCUAAGUCGCAGAUGAAAUGUUUAAAUAUAAACUGAUCUGCCCAGCGAAAUCAUUUUAUGCGAUCGCUGCCCCUGGCUUACGAUCGCAGAGCACAAAUCUUGAGCCUCUAAUUUUUCUCUUAUGUGAUCGCACUCAACACCACGCAAUCGCAGUGCUCCUCUACCCUUCCUUACGCGAAUGCAGCCCGGCUAAUGCGAACGCGUACGCUAACCAAGCAGGGACCCAGACCCCCCUCUAUGCAAACACGAUCCUCCUCACGCGAACGCCAUGAACAACGAGCCACUGCUACACAAUCUCAUACAUACCCCUGUGAUCGCAAUGACCAAAAUUGGUCUGCACUGCCGCUGCAAUUUCUGCAACUCUUCAAGUCCAAAAAACUCCCGUUUAACCAUCUGAAAUCACCCGGGGGCCCCUGAGACCUCAACCAAAAAUACCAACCUACUCCAAAACAUCAUACGAACUUGUUCCAAUAACAAAAACACACACAACAACACAAAAAUUAUCAAAUUACCACGUAUUCAAGCCUAAAUUUUCUUAAAACAUCCGAAACUCAUAUUCGAUCAAAAAUCCGACCAAACGACGUCCGAAUGACCCGAAAAAUUACAAACAUAUCCAAAAUCACCUAAUGAUGCUAAUGCAACUCUCAGAAUUCCAUUCCGACCCUCGGAUCAAAAUCUCACCUACCAACUGGAAUCCGCCAAAAUUCAAACUUCGCUAAUUCAAGCCUAAUUCUACACUAGACCUCCAAAUUAAAUUCUGAUCUCUCCUAAGUCACAAAUCAUCUCCCGAAGCUAACUGAAUCAUUAGAAAUCACAUCUGAUCCCUCUAACCACGUAGUCAACUUUCGAUUUAUUUUUUCGAACUAGUCUUCUCUUUAAGAGACUAAUUGUUUUGUCCAACAAAACUCUGUCCGAAU